Molecule: ribosomal RNA, 468 nt
Filed under: uncultured bacterium
Lineage: Bacteria
Description: partial 16S ribosomal RNA
Rfam family: Bacterial small subunit ribosomal RNA
Source: RNAcentral
GACGAACGCUGGCGGCGUGCUUAACACAUGCAAGUCGAACGGAAAGGCCCUGCUUUUGUGGGGUGCUCGAGUGGCGAACGGGUGAGUAACACGUGAGUAACCUGCCCUUGACUUUGGGAUAACUUCAGGAAACUGGGGCUAAUACCGGAUAGGAGCUCCUGCUGCAUGGUGGGGGUUGGAAAGUUUCGGCGGUUGGGGAUGGACUCGCGGCUUAUCAGCUUGUUGGUGGGGUAGUGGCUUACCAAGGCUUUGACGGGUAGCCGGCCUGAGAGGGUGACCGGCCACAUUGGGACUGAGAUACGGCACAGACUCCUACGGGAGGCAGCAGUGGGGAACAUUGCACAAUGGGCGGAAGCCUGAUGCAGCAACGCCGCGUGCGGGAUGACGGCCUUCGGGUUGUAAACCGCUUUCGCCUGUGACGAAGCGUGAGUGACGGUAAUGGGUAAAGAAGCACCGGCUAACUACGUG